GACGGAACGCUGGCGGCGUGCUUAACACAUGCAAGUCGAACGGAAAGGCCCUGCUUUUGUGGGGUGCUCGAGUCGGCGAACGGGUGAGUAAACACGUGAGUAACCUGCCCUUGACUUUGGGAUAACUUCAGGAAACUGGGGCUAAGUACCGGAUAGGAGCUCCUGCUGCAAUGGUGGGGGUUGGAAAGUUUCGGCGGUUGGGGAUGGACUCGCGGCUUAUCAGCCUUGUUGGUGGGGUAGUGGCUUACCAAGGCUUUGACGGGUAGCCGGCCUGGAGAGGGUGACCGGCCACAUU
This 295-nucleotide ribosomal RNA is filed under the name Propionibacterium sp. BESC8032. Its description in RNAcentral is "partial 16S ribosomal RNA". It matches the Rfam family "Bacterial small subunit ribosomal RNA", at positions 27 to 314 of the family's 1533-position model. Lineage: Bacteria; Bacillati; Actinomycetota; Actinomycetes; Propionibacteriales; Propionibacteriaceae. The record is from RNAcentral.